Long non-coding RNA from Oncorhynchus tshawytscha (Chinook salmon), 590 nucleotides. NCBI's taxonomy places the organism in Eukaryota, Metazoa, Chordata, Actinopteri, Salmoniformes, Salmonidae. The record is from Ensembl.
GGCAGUGAGGCAGGGGUAACAUUGUGUUGGUACUGAAGGCAGGCUGAGUGGAGGCAGUGAGGCAGAGGCAACAUUGUGUUGGUACUGAAGGCAGGCUGAGUAGAGGCAGUGAGGCAGAGGCAACAUUGUGUUGGUACUGAAGGCAGGCUGAGUGGAGGCAGUGAGGCAGAGGCAACAUUGUGUUGGUACUGAAGACAGGCUGAGUGGAGGCAGUGAGGCAGAGACAACAUUGUGUUGGUACUGAAGACAGGCUGAGUGGAAGCAGUGAGGCAGAGGCAAUCUUGCGUGAGCUGUCUCAUCAAGGCUGCAGGGACCCUGGACAUACAGGCAUAUACACCAAUGUAUGAACACAUACACACACACACACACACACACACACACACACACACACACACACACACACACACACACACACACACACACACACACACACACACACACACACACACACACACACACACACACACACACACACACACACACACACACACACACACACACACACACACACACACUCACACACACACACACACACACAUACACACACACACACACACACACACACACACACACACACACACACACACACA